UUGGGAAUUUAACUAGUAUAAAUACACAUGAGUAGUGGCCAAACUAAAUUCUGAGUAUGACCAAACGUGAAGGGUGAGAAAGUACAUAGUUUGUGUAUCAGUUUAAACUCUUAUAAGUUUGAGGUAUAUAAUUGUUGAAAAUAUGCUGCACAGACUUACGUUUUGACCUUUGAAAAAAAUAAAAGUGCUAAUAAACUUUCCGUUCUUGGAUACAAAUUCGUACGAAACUUCAGUGUAAAAAUGGUACAGUUAAAGCUGUAAAA
This 263-nucleotide long non-coding RNA is filed under the name Mytilus galloprovincialis (Mediterranean mussel). Lineage: Eukaryota; Metazoa; Mollusca; Bivalvia; Mytilida; Mytilidae. The record is from RNAcentral.